UGGGGAAUCUUGGUCAAUGGGCGCAAGCCUGAACCAGCGACGCCGCGUGAGUGAUGAAGGCCUUCGGGUUGUAAAGCUCUGUGGGGAGGAAAGAAAAAACCAAGUCGAAUAGGCUUGGGAAUUGACGGUACCUCCUUAGCAAGCACCGGCUAACUCUGUGCCAGCAGCCGCGGUAAGACAGAGGGUGCAAACGUUGCUCGGAAUUACUGGGCGUAAAGCGCGUGUAGGCGGAUAGGCAAGUCCGGCGUGA
RNAcentral lists this ribosomal RNA (250 nucleotides) under uncultured bacterium. RNAcentral's name for it is "partial 16S ribosomal RNA". It matches the Rfam family "Bacterial small subunit ribosomal RNA", at positions 355 to 597 of the family's 1533-position model. The record is from RNAcentral.